RNAcentral lists this long non-coding RNA (851 nucleotides) under Rattus norvegicus (Norway rat). Its description in RNAcentral is "long non-coding RNA NONRATT018434". Lineage: Eukaryota; Metazoa; Chordata; Mammalia; Rodentia; Muridae. The record is from RNAcentral.
ACAGCUAUGGCAGCAGACUGCUCUCAAGCACCAGAGUAGGAUGCAAAGCUGGAUCGACUUCAUCAUGGCCAGAGAAACAUGGCUAGAAGCAGGAAGAUACUACUAGGAUGGUUUGCAGUAACACAGGUUGCAAGGAAGAGCUCUUCUCUAUGGGCAGACCCAGGUCUUCUGAGGACAUCCCUGAUGUGCUUUUGACCUCUCCUGAGGCUCUCUCCUGGCCUCUGGCAGACCCUCAGCAACCUUGUCUGUCUUGAGGUGAGCACACACAUCAUCAUGGCUAAGGUGUGUCUGACAGAUGGGAAAGCCACCAAGUUAUCAGGGAACACUCGCCUGUCUGUCCUCCAACAGCGGUCUGAGUGAGAGGAGGGAGAAAUGAAGGUAACGACGAGGCUGGUGCCACGGAGUUGAGUGCUGCCACCCUCACAGUGCGUGUGAGUUGUCAUGUGAAUACGCCUUCUACUCAUCACAUUGCUCUGUGGCCUCUCUAGGCACCCAGCCUCUGGAAACAGUAAAUUAUGGGUGAAGAUUCAGAGAUCCAGAGAUAAGACGAGGUGGAUGGGGGUCACAGAGGUCACCAUGGAUGAAUUAUGAAGAAUGUUGAGAUACAGAGGUAAAAAAGAGUUACCAUCUUUCGAGGCAGUUUGAUCCUGGAAGUGACCACAGUGUUUAUUGAGGAUAUUAUGUUUGGAAGGCUAUGCAAUCAAGCAAUAAAGCAAAUGUAGAGUCCAGAAGCUAGAGCUAUUUUCUCUUGGCUUCCAACAUCUUCUGGAGAAAUAUUUCAUUGAGAAGCUAAUGGAAAGUAAAUUGAUAUCUGAAAACAGAGCUCAGUCUACCAAGGACUUGCUUCAGAA